GGGAAGGUGGCUCAGUAGUAGAGCACUUGCCUUGCAUGCAUGAGGCCCUGGGUUC
Molecule: non-coding RNA, 55 nt
Organism: Dipodomys ordii (Ord's kangaroo rat)
Lineage: Eukaryota; Metazoa; Chordata; Mammalia; Rodentia; Heteromyidae
Source: Rfam